This 2925-nucleotide ribosomal RNA is filed under the name Escherichia coli. Its description in RNAcentral is "partial 23S ribosomal RNA". It matches the Rfam family "Bacterial large subunit ribosomal RNA". The record is from RNAcentral. Lineage: Bacteria; Pseudomonadati; Pseudomonadota; Gammaproteobacteria; Enterobacterales; Enterobacteriaceae.
GGGUUGUGAGGUUAAGCGACUAAGCGUACACGGUGGAUGCCCUGGCAGUCAGAGGCGAUGAAGGACGUGCUAAUCUGCGAUAAGCGUCGGUAAGGUGAUAUGAACCGUUAUAACCGGCGAUUUCCGAAUGGGGAAACCCAGUGUGUUUCGACACACUAUCAUUAACUGAAUCCAUAGGUUAAUGAGGCGAACCGGGGGAACUGAAACAUCUAAGUACCCCGAGGAAAAGAAAUCAACCGAGAUUCCCCCAGUAGCGGCGAGCGAACGGGGAGGAGCCCAGAGCCUGAAUCAGUGUGUGUGUUAGUGGAAGCGUCUGGAAAGGCGCGCGAUACAGGGUGACAGCCCCGUACACAAAAAUGCACAUGCUGUGAGCUCGAUGAGUAGGGCGGGACACGUGGUAUCCUGUCUGAAUAUGGGGGGACCAUCCUCCAAGGCUAAAUACUCCUGACUGACCGAUAGUGAACCAGUACCGUGAGGGAAAGGCGAAAAGAACCCCGGCGAGGGGAGUGAAAAAGAACCUGAAACCGUGUACGUACAAGCAGUGGGAGCACGCUUAGGCGUGUGACUGCGUACCUUUUGUAUAAUGGGUCAGCGACUUAUAUUCUGUAGCAAGGUUAACCGAAUAGGGGAGCCGAAGGGAAACCGAGUCUUAACUGGGCGUUAAGUUGCAGGGUAUAGACCCGAAACCCGGUGAUCUAGCCAUGGGCAGGUUGAAGGUUGGGUAACACUAACUGGAGGACCGAACCGACUAAUGUUGAAAAAUUAGCGGAUGACUUGUGGCUGGGGGUGAAAGGCCAAUCAAACCGGGAGAUAGCUGGUUCUCCCCGAAAGCUAUUUAGGUAGCGCCUCGUGAAUUCAUCUCCGGGGGUAGAGCACUGUUUCGGCAAGGGGGUCAUCCCGACUUACCAACCCGAUGCAAACUGCGAAUACCGGAGAAUGUUAUCACGGGAGACACACGGCGGGUGCUAACGUCCGUCGUGAAGAGGGAAACAACCCAGACCGCCAGCUAAGGUCCCAAAGUCAUGGUUAAGUGGGAAACGAUGUGGGAAGGCCCAGACAGCCAGGAUGUUGGCUUAGAAGCAGCCAUCAUUUAAAGAAAGCGUAAUAGCUCACUGGUCGAGUCGGCCUGCGCGGAAGAUGUAACGGGGCUAAACCAUGCACCGAAGCUGCGGCAGCGACGCUUAUGCGUUGUUGGGUAGGGGAGCGUUCUGUAAGCCUGUGAAGGUGUGCUGUGAGGCAUGCUGGAGGUAUCAGAAGUGCGAAUGCUGACAUAAGUAACGAUAAAGCGGGUGAAAAGCCCGCUCGCCGGAAGACCAAGGGUUCCUGUCCAACGUUAAUCGGGGCAGGGUGAGUCGACCCCUAAGGCGAGGCCGAAAGGCGUAGUCGAUGGGAAACAGGUUAAUAUUCCUGUACUUGGUGUUACUGCGAAGGGGGGACGGAGAAGGCUAUGUUGGCCGGGCGACGGUUGUCCCGGUUUAAGCGUGUAGGCUGGUUUUCCAGGCAAAUCCGGAAAAUCAAGGCUGAGGCGUGAUGACGAGGCACUACGGUGCUGAAGCAACAAAUGCCCUGCUUCCAGGAAAAGCCUCUAAGCAUCAGGUAACAUCAAAUCGUACCCCAAACCGACACAGGUGGUCAGGUAGAGAAUACCAAGGCGCUUGAGAGAACUCGGGUGAAGGAACUAGGCAAAAUGGUGCCGUAACUUCGGGAGAAGGCACGCUGAUAUGUAGGUGAAGUCCCUCGCGGAUGGAGCUGAAAUCAGUCGAAGAUACCAGCUGGCUGCAACUGUUUAUUAAAAACACAGCACUGUGCAAACACGAAAGUGGACGUAUACGGUGUGACGCCUGCCCGGUGCCGGAAGGUUAAUUGAUGGGGUCAGCGCAAGCGAAGCUCUUGAUCGAAGCCCCGGUAAACGGCGGCCGUAACUAUAACGGUCCUAAGGUAGCGAAAUUCCUUGUCGGGUAAGUUCCGACCUGCACGAAUGGCGUAAUGAUGGCCAGGCUGUCUCCACCCGAGACUCAGUGAAAUUGAACUCGCUGUGAAGAUGCAGUGUACCCGCGGCAAGACGGAAAGACCCCGUGAACCUUUACUAUAGCUUGACACUGAACAUUGAGCCUUGAUGUGUAGGAUAGGUGGGAGGCUUAGAAGUGUGGACGCCAGUCUGCAUGGAGCCGACCUUGAAAUACCACCCUUUAAUGUUUGAUGUUCUAACGUUGACCCGUAAUCCGGGUUGCGGACAGUGUCUGGUGGGUAGUUUGACUGGGGCGGUCUCCUCCUAAAGAGUAACGGAGGAGCACGAAGGUUGGCUAAUCCUGGUCGGACAUCAGGAGGUUAGUGCAAUGGCAUAAGCCAGCUUGACUGCGAGCGUGACGGCGCGAGCAGGUGCGAAAGCAGGUCAUAGUGAUCCGGUGGUUCUGAAUGGAAGGGCCAUCGCUCAACGGAUAAAAGGUACUCCGGGGAUAACAGGCUGAUACCGCCCAAGAGUUCAUAUCGACGGCGGUGUUUGGCACCUCGAUGUCGGCUCAUCACAUCCUGGGGCUGAAGUAGGUCCCAAGGGUAUGGCUGUUCGCCAUUUAAAGUGGUACGCGAGCUGGGUUUAGAACGUCGUGAGACAGUUCGGUCCCUAUCUGCCGUGGGCGCUGGAGAACUGAGGGGGGCUGCUCCUAGUACGAGAGGACCGGAGUGGACGCAUCACUGGUGUUCGGGUUGUCAUGCCAAUGGCACUGCCCGGUAGCUAAAUGCGGAAGAGAUAAGUGCUGAAAGCAUCUAAGCACGAAACUUGCCCCGAGAUGAGUUCUCCCUGACUCCUUGAGAGUCCUGAAGGAACGUUGAAGACGACGACGUUGAUAGGCCGGGUGUGUAAGCGCAGCGAUGCGUUGAGCUAACCGGUACUAAUGAACCGUGAGGCUUAACCUUACAACGCCGAAG